RNAcentral lists this unclassified non-coding RNA (4751 nucleotides) under Gigantopelta aegis. RNAcentral describes it as "inositol polyphosphate-4-phosphatase type I A-like, transcript variant X5". The record is from RNAcentral. Lineage: Eukaryota; Metazoa; Mollusca; Gastropoda; Neomphalida; Peltospiridae.
AUAAAAGAGGACGUUAAUUGCGAUAAGGACUAACUAGCAGAAAAAUUUGUUAUCUUUUGCAGUUUUGUUUUUAGUUAUGAUAUUAGUUUAAAGGUAAAGCUACAAUUCUGUUGCUUCAACCGCCAAGCAAUGACUUUAUAUGGACACCAUGCGCUUCAAUUCAAAGGAACUUUCCUACAUUGCUCAGCAUGCUGACCGGUUUGACAAAGAAGGUGUUUUGUUGAUGAAAGAAAAAGUAGAUGGCUUGUUCAAAAAAGGAUCAGUUUAUCAAGAAAGAUAUUUUAGGUUGAAAGGGAAUCUGCUCUUUUACUUCAAGCACAAAGAACAGACUAAAGUUGAACCUCUUGGUGUAUUUAUCUUGGAGAGAUGUACAGUGGAGCUAGAUCUCAAAGAAGAUAUUGCUAAUUCUUUCAUGCUGGUAUUUGAGGGAGAGGAACACCCGUUCUUCCUAGCGACAUUGUCCGAGGACGACCGCGAUUCAUGGAUCCAGGCCCUACACAUCGCCAGCUAUGAGUGCCUUAAGAUGCAGCUACAACAGCUCCGUGAGCAGGUGCAGGCGAGGACGGGUCGCGACCCCAUACAGCUGCCCAAGGAACCCGUCGGCCUAGACCUGGACUCUGAAACUGAUCACUCAGAAGAUCCCGUUCUUGAAAUUUCAUUAUCCUGUAAUGAUUUGCCCACUGACAGCAAUGGACAACCUCCGAAUACCUUGAUUAUUCUACACACAAUAACCCCACCCGACCAGCAACUGUGGAUACACCAUAACCACACCGAAAUAGUUGAGAAAUCAUGCAACCCCCAGUUCUUGAAGACAGUGGGUUUUGGUAAUAAGGACAGUGUUGACACGGCAACCAGAGUAAAACUGACAGUCUACCAUGUGGUGGAGAGAAUGACAUGGACAAUGUUUCAAGUCGGUCAGGCUGUGUUCACUCUGCAGGAUGUGCUCAUGAAUCCCAGUUCAACACUGACCUUGACCUUACAGGGUUCAGACAUGAAGGAGUAUGGACAAGUGACUAUCACGUGUUGGGUUAACGACAGUGAUUUUAUGAAAGAGAGUUCGGACAGUAGUUUGAAGAGCCGUGGAUCAUUCACGAGGAACAGCACAGUUCUGAAGAUAUACCACGAGUCUGUGAUCAAUCGCUCGUUCCGAUUCACCACCAACGUCGUCGACAAGGUGCUGCUUGUACAUGAGUACAUGGCCGAGAGCAGAUGGUCAUUCGUUAUCCCUUCAUUACUCCUGAAGCUGUGGAUUGAUGAAGAAAAGAAAAAAGUUUCAUUGCUGCAGGAUUUUGGAGAGAUUUCUCCCACUUGGUCGAGUCUGCGGCAGGAAAUGACUGACUACUGCAUGAGUUCAAUCUCAACUUACACCCAAAAAGUAGCCCACCUUUCAAGUUACACAGGUCCAUCCUUCAAGCCAAGUUGUGAGAAGGAUAACAAGGAGUUAGAGUUUAUUCCUACGAACCUACACCUAGCGAGAAUGUGCGUCACAUCUGAGGGAUCAUCUGAAGCGACUGUGUAUGACAUUAUGACUGUGGGAGCAUUCGUGGCGUACACCCAGAAGUUCCGGUCAGGCGGUCUGCGCAAGAUGCUGCAGGGUCAGCGUGAGUUCCACAGCAGCCAGAGCACGCUGGGCUUCAAGACGAAGAUACAGAGCUCAUGCUCGCUCCUCAACGACAUCAACAAGCUCAAGGCCGAGGUCACGGAGGGCUGCAAGCAACUCCACCAGAGCGCGCUGCAGGGCUCGGAUGUUUCACUGCAGACGGCCACAAAAGACCUGACUGAAGUGGUUCGUGAGCUGAUCCGUCUCUGUGACGACCCGCUGCUGCAGCUGUCAGCGGAGAAGUACAUGCUGGCCAAGUCUCCAUCUAACGCCAGCGAUGGCCUCGAUGUGGUGGCAUCGCUCGGACCGGUGUCCAAGUCAUUCCACGGCAGACAGGCCAAAUCACCGGAGAAAGCGUGGAAGUGGUCGGGCAGCAGUUUCGUGAAAAGUCCCACAGUUGAACCAUGGGAGGUGACUCGACUGAACCUGGAGGCUGCACUGAUGUGUCUCAUCUCGAAGGUGGAUGAGUUCAGCAAGGACAGCACGUCUGACGAGGCGGUGUGGCAGUCGGAUUUAAACCCCAUCAUCAUCAAUCUGCAGGAUUUUGUGGAAAUUGUUUCCACAAGGGCAGCACUCUUCCUAUCAUUUCUUUCGCUCGUGCCCCAUCACACGUCACAAGUUAAUAGUUGGUCAUGUCAGACAACUCCAAUACUGAUUCCCCUUCACAUGGAGAACAAAGACCAUAUCAAGUUAAACCACAUGAUAAAAUACAGACGAGACAUUGUCGCAUCACAAGCAAUUACAUCAUUGGUGGCUGGAUUAUCCAUCACUAUGCAGACUCGCAUCACGGACGAAGCAUUUCUCGAACAGAUCUCAAAGAUCGGAUUUCUUAUAGGCUUUGAGGCGUUGCUCAGUUGCUAUGGUGACGAGAUGGGCAUGCUGGAGGACAUGUCCGUCGCUGUUGACGACCUCGCGUUUGUUUUCAUCAAGUUUGAGGAAGAAGUAGACGGCCAAUGUGAACCAACCAUCACCGCCCUCAGCGAUGUAAAAGCAGGAGAAUUUCCCGAUAUCAACAGACAUUCCAUAUGUGUGUCACUUCCUUUGCCAAAGACAUCAUUUUCUAAACUGCCAGAGAACUUACAGAAGAACAAAAUAAAGAUAACUCCCGUUUUCUUCAACAUUGGAAUCAAUGAACAAGCAACACUGGCUGAGAAGUUCGGGAACACCAGCACACAGGAGAGAAUAAAUGCCGAGAGUAUAGCUAAAGUGUUCAACUAUUAUGAAGACUACGUUAGGCACUUCGGAGAGCCAGAGAACAAGUCGGGGCCUGGCAGUGUGAACAACCUGACUAAGCAGCUGCAUACGAACAUCAUGACGAAAAAGAGCAAGAACACAGAAGUAUUGCAUAUUGCAGCUGAGGUGUGCCGCAAGCUGAAAGGAAUUCGAUUCAUCAGUUGUAAGAGUGGUAAAGAUCGAACCUCGAUGGCCGUUACCCUGGAGAUGGUACAGAUCCUUCAACAUGAACACGACCUGGCCUCUCAUGUCUUCUUACAUGCACUCGACUGUCUACGGAGUGUUGGCUGUCGGAGAGAGAACCCGCUGAAGAAUGCCGGAGUGCGGAAAUACGCCUUUAACAGUCUCCAGCUACUGUACAUCCCCAGACUGUACCGGCCACCCAGUGGAACGUACGGCAACACUCAGACAUAAUGAAGGCUCUGGCUUAGAUAAAACACCACAAACAGCUUUAUUUAAUUCCAUUUGUGUCUUGGACAACUUUAUAGCUGAACACAUCUUGUCAUUUCAUUUUCUGCCAUUAGAUGCAUGACUUGUCUUUAACAAGGCCUAAUACAUGAUCAUUUAUUUUAAAAAGCAAAGUGUGGAAAGUAGCAGACCCAACAAGAGGGAAAUUUGAAGUGGUGUGUGUAGGAGGUAGAAGUCGGUUGGGGUAGGGAAGAGGAUGUCAAAUGGCUUGCCUAUAAAUAAGGAUCAAUGCUGGCUCUGGAAAGCUUGCCAGUUACUUAUGAGAAAGUUCUCCACACUCUAAACAAAAUUUAAAUUGUAAAUAGUUUUAGGUGUAUCCUAGGCCAUAACAUUUAGACUUAACAAUAGUUUUAGGUGUAUCCUAGGCCAUACAAUUAGAGACGUAACAAUAGUUUUAGGUGUAUCCUAGGUCAUACAUUUAGAGACUUAACACUUCACACCUCCCUCUUCCCCCCCCCCCCCCCCCCACCACCACCACCACUCUCACAAACCACUAACGCUACUAGUCUUGACUGUUUUAUACCUUACAUAUUUGACCUGUUUUUUAAAUGGACCGUAUAGUACAGACUUUGGCACAUAUCACUCAUCUUCCACAUUGUUUAUCAGGUGGAGUUUAUUAGUGCAAUGCAGGGACCUUCUGACUGCUGUAGACUCAGAGAAAUAUAUAUUCUAAUUUUUACUAUCAUUUUUAUGACAGUUUGGAAACAAUAAGUCACAUUUAUCAUAUGAUUCCUGUUCUGUUUGAUUUGUCAACUCUAUUAUGCACUGCAUAGGUCAAACCUUUAGUCAGUGGUAGUUUGUGAACAAAUGCUUGCAUUUUAUCUGAUGAUACAUUUUGUCAAUCAUUUCCCAGCCAUGCAGUAGUUUGCCCAUUCUAAAACCAUUCGUUAUGCAGGAUUUAAGCUGUUGCUCGCCAAAUGCAAAUAAAAGUUGAAUUUGUCAAAUAUAUUUCAUUACUAAUCCAAAAAACCUCAUUUUGUUAGUGUCUUGCCUAUUAAUAACCACCUUCGUUCAUUGUGCUGACAUUGUAUAUCUGUAUGCAUUUUUGUAAUUGUAUUUAUCAUAUGACCAUUCAUCUGGCUAUGUCUUUGAAUGAUCAGGGUGAUAACCUCCCACCCCCACCCCCCCAAAAAAAAGAAUCAUUGCUCUUUUUACUUUAAAAGUGUGUUUUUUUUCUAGCUAGAGAAACCCUCAGUUACUGUGCUUUGAUUCUUGUUUUACUCCCCACCCCUUUAUUACAAACUAGGUAUGGCCCUGGUGAAAGUAUCUAAACAUUUAACAAUCAGAAUGAUUUUCAUUAUGUAUGUUUGACCUUACAUCAGGCAGUCAAACCUGUGUUAAAUGGCUGCCAGGGUUUCUGCCAAAGGGUAAAACGGGUAUGGUGCCAUAUCCAAAAGUUUUUGCAAUUUUUUUUAUUAUUUUUUUUUUUUAAUGUUAACCUCUUGACAAA